This 780-nucleotide long non-coding RNA is filed under the name Monodelphis domestica (gray short-tailed opossum). RNAcentral describes it as "lncRNA (ENSMODG00000039972.1)". The record is from RNAcentral. Lineage: Eukaryota; Metazoa; Chordata; Mammalia; Didelphimorphia; Didelphidae.
AAGAAGAGAUAUUACAAGAUAACAGUGAGGCAGGUCAAAUCCUAUUCUGGUGGAUAUUAAUGAGAGGAAGAUUAAUUUCAGGGCCUCUCCCUCUGCUUAACUUUUACUAACACUCAAGAGGGAUAGGAACUACCCUUCUUACCCCACUUGAGUGUUCUUAGCCACUCUGGGGCUUAGGGAGAGGAUCUGAGUUAUCAUAAUUUGGUUCUAACUUCCCUGAUGUCAUAAAAGCCUCCUAAAGAGGCCUUGGUACCGACCAGCCUAUUUAACCAAGGUCCUUAAAAUUCUUCAAAUCAAGUUUUUAUAAAUUUCUUUAGAUUGACAUACAUGUUUUUCAUCUUUGAUUUUUAUAUAUAAACAGAACUUAAAAGAGCACAGGAAGUUAUAGACACUGCUUCUGAUGGGAAGAUUCAUGCUAAGGAUUUAUCACCUACCCUGGAAAAUUUUGGAAUCAAACUAACAGAUGAUAUGCUUAAGGAUACCGUGAAAUCUGUUGGAAUUGAUGGAGAUGGAACAGUGAAUGUAAAGAAUGUUGUGGAAAAACUCUUUCAGAAUGAAAAAUUACCAAAAGAUGAAAACAUAGAAAAAUCACUUAAUGCUGUUGCCAAAAUCGCUGAAGGGAAUAUCAAGAUCACUGAUCUCUCUCCUCUCUUGGAGACAUUAGAUAUUGAUUUAACUGAAGAAGAUCUUCAAAAAACAUUGAAAACUGUUGACACUAAGGGUAAGUAUUUCAGCAAUUUACAAAGAUUUAAAUUAUGUUAUAUAAGAUUAUCUAUUUAG